RNAcentral lists this transfer RNA (71 nucleotides) under Cordylochernes scorpioides. RNAcentral describes it as "tRNA-Gly". Lineage: Eukaryota; Metazoa; Arthropoda; Arachnida; Pseudoscorpiones; Chernetidae. The record is from RNAcentral.
UGCAUCAGCCGGGAUUCGUACGUGGGCCGCCCGCGUGGCAGGCGAGCAUUCUACCACUGAACCACCGAAGC